This 1181-nucleotide ribosomal RNA is filed under the name Candidatus Shapirobacteria bacterium. Its description in RNAcentral is "bacterial SSU rRNA". It matches the Rfam family "Bacterial small subunit ribosomal RNA", at positions 303 to 1533 of the family's 1533-position model. Lineage: Bacteria; Candidatus Shapironibacteriota. The record is from RNAcentral.
GUCCGGCACAAUGGGACUGAGACACGGCCCAUACUUCUACGGAAGGCAGCAGUUAGGAAUUUUGCGCAAUGGACGAAAGUCUGACGCAGCGACAUCGCGUGUGGGAUGACGGCCCUCGGGUUGUAAACCACUUUUUGGGAGCCAUGAAGGCGCCCAGAAUAAGGAACUACUAACUACGUGCCAGCAGUCGCGGUAAUACGUAGGUUCCAAGCGUUGCCCGGUUUUAUUGGGCGUAAAGCGUCUGUAGGUGGUUUUUUAAGUCUUGUUUCAAAGACCCCGACUCAAUCGGGGAAAGGGGCAGGAUACUGGAAAACUAGAGUUAUAUCGGGGUUACUGGAAUUUGUGGUGUAGGGGUAAAAUCCGUGGAUACCACAAAGAACACCAAGCGCGAAGGCGGGUAACCAGGUAUACACUGACACUCAGAGACGAAAGCUAGGGUAAUCAAUCAGAUUAGAGACCUGAGUAGUCCUAGCCGUAAACAUUGUCUGUUAAUUUUUUCUCGUUUAUCGGGAAGAGAUGCUAGCUAACGCGUUAAACAGACCGCCUGGGGAGUAUAGCCGCAAGGCCGAAACUCAAACGAAUUGGCGGGGAGGCGCACAACCAGUGGAGCAUGUGGUUCAAUUCGAUACGAAGCGAUAAACCUUACCUGGGUUUGAAAUGUAUCUGCAAGCUUUAUGAAAGUAGAGCCGCCUUCGAGGGUGAUACACAGCUGUUGCAUGGCUGUCGUCAGCUCGUGACGUGAGUUGUUCUCUUAAGUGAGGUAACGAGCGCAACCCCCAUUCCGUGUUACUGUGUCACGGAAGACUGCCCAGCAUUAUUUUGUUGGGAGGAAGGAGGGGACGAUGUCAAGUCAUCAUGAUGCUUAUAUCCAGGGCUACACACAUCCUACAAUGGGUUGUACAGAGGGUUGCAAGACCGCAAGGUGGAGCGAAUCCCUAAAACAUCCCUCAGUUGGGAUUGCAGGCUGCAAUUUGCCUGCAUGAACCCGGAAUUGGUAGUAAUCGCAAAUCAGAAGAUUGCGGUGAAUACGUUCUCGCCUCUUGCACACACUGCCCGUCAAAUCAGCAAAGUUGAGGGUACCCAAAGGCUCUGAUUCGUCAGGGACUAAGGUAAAUUCAGCGAUGAGGGUUAAGUCGUAACAAGGUAUCCGUACUGGAAGGUGCGGAUGGAUCACCUCCUUU